RNAcentral lists this transfer RNA (67 nucleotides) under Marmota monax (woodchuck). RNAcentral's name for it is "tRNA.Ala". Lineage: Eukaryota; Metazoa; Chordata; Mammalia; Rodentia; Sciuridae. The record is from RNAcentral.
GGUUAUGGCUCAGCGGAAGAGCGCUCGCCUCGCAAGUGCAAGGUUCUGGGUUUGAUCCUCAGCACCA